CGAUAGUUACAGGGCUGGCGAUAUUCAUUCCUAUCACUAUCGGAGUGUUAAUAUUUCUUGUUCUCAAGAAAAAAAUACAGUGGUUAAAGGGGAAUCAUCCGACACCACGUCAGCCUGAAGAAACGGAAGAGAGUCAAAAAUCGGAGAAGCCAGUCUGCGCUGAUCCUCUGGUGCAGUCACAUAGUUCUAAACCUACUCCUGGGAUUACAAUGCUUACAGAAACAUCAGGACUCCUGAGAAGCUCUUCAGACUUCAAACUGCCAUUAGGCUGAAUGAACAGGCUUUGUGUGCAAGAAAGUGGACUUUAAAAAGACUGUCUUCACUUGCCUCUACAGCUCUAGUAAAAAAAACUGAAGAGUUAAUGGGGCUCAUGGGUUUAUUCUCCUUCUGUUGUGUCUACAUGGCAAAUACGUGAUAUAUUUUUGAUAUACAAUAAGCUUCUUAGCUUGUAUUUCAAACAUGUUUCUUUUAACACAAAAUAAUUAAUAACACGAACUAAAUCCCCACUAUAAUACAUUUCAGCUGCAAUAAACUACAAGUAGUCCUUUCAUGUUUCCGUUCAACAAAUACUACGGUCUAACUCUGGGGUAGUCGGUGACGCCUUUUAUAUGUGCAGCCUAUCGGGCGACCUCUAGUGGCAGGCGGUCGGAAAUGAAACAUUCCGCCAUUUCUAGUCUAAAACCGCUUAAAUACCUUUUACGUUGGUUAGUUAUUCUUUAUGCUAGAUAACAAUAAUGCUUUAUUCUGUUACAUUUUAUAAUACUCAUUGUUCUUCUUAUUCUUAUUAUGCCACUUGCAUAAUAAAAUUCGAUUUAUUUGAGAUGCAAAACAAAAUUAAUGGAGAACACAGCAGCAGAAUUGAUGUAUUUGUCUUAAAAAACAAGAAAUGCUUUCUUUUCUGAUUAUGAAGCUAGGCAAUGUUACUUUCAGUACCAGUGUGGGGAAUUUAGAAAAAAAAGAAGGAAAUAUUCUAAAAUGACUUUUAUUCUGAUUUCUUGGCAUGUAAAAAUCAGUUUAUCCUUUUUUUCAUUUCCAAAAACAUAUAGUUUACUCAGUGAGAGAGGAGAAGUAAGCAAGAUUACCAAGCUGAUGUCAUACACUAAUUGACAAUUAAUUUGGCAUUGACUGAAUUUCAAUUCUGAUUCACAUGAAUACAAAAUUAACUAAAAAGUAUUAACUUAAUUACACU
This is a non-coding RNA of Lepisosteus oculatus (spotted gar), 1189 nucleotides long. NCBI's taxonomy places the organism in Eukaryota, Metazoa, Chordata, Actinopteri, Semionotiformes, Lepisosteidae. The record is from RefSeq and is a predicted model, not a curated record.